GGUCCGCCGGCCAGUACUCCUCUGCAUCGGGACCCGAAACGGGAGCAGAAGAGGCUGCGCGAACGGGCCCAAGCCCUGGCAACUAGCGGCGAUGGUGCGGAUAUGCAGGCUCCGCCCACGCCCAAAACAGAGCUCCUGGAGCAAAGAAACAAAGAACUGCUGGGACUACGUGCCCUCCUAGAAACGGAAAGAUACGAGAAGAAUGUGCUCGAGGAGCAGAUCAUGGAGAACGAGCAUCUCAUUAACUCAUUAGCCAAAGAGAACAAGGUGAAGAAGAUACAGCUGGCCAAGCUGAAGGCAGACCGGAACGAUGAGGAGGACGGGGAUAUGCGCAACUAUGUCCCGAAUGAGUUCGAUCAUCUGAAACGGAGUCUGAUGAAGGAGAUCACCCAGAAGGAGGCCCUAAUUGCGGAGACAUCGGAUAAGCUGCAGGAUUUGCGAACCGAAAAGGCCGAGGUGGACAACAAGCUGAAAAUGGCAUCCGAGCAAGUGGUGGUGUGCAUGGACCGGAUCCGCGAACUGGAGCUGCGGGCGGAGGAGGCCAACCAGCUGCUGGCCGCGAAGAACAGCACGAUCAGUGCCAUGGAGCGUGACAAGGAGGAACUGGAGCAGUGUCUGCAGGAGGCGCGUGAGGAGCUCCACAAUCGUCGUGAAGUCCUCAACGCCUCCUCAGAUCUGCUGAAUUGCUCCUUGUCGCCGAACACCACGCCGGAGAAUCUGGCCAGCUCGGUCAUAGACAAGCAGCUGCGGGAGCGAGAGCUGGAGAAUACCGAGCUGAGGGACGAGAUCCAAAAGAUGCAGAAGACCCUGCAGAAGCUAACCGAAGAUGUGGAGGAUACUCUGAAGCAGUUCUCCCUGAAGGAGGUCCAACCCGGUGGCUCCUUUGCCUCCCGCGUUCGAAGCGCCUUUGGCAUCAUGGAGACCGGCUAUGAGGAGGAGCUGGCCAAGGUCAAGGACAUGAAGGAGCAGAUGGAAGCGCAGAGCCAGAUGCAGGAGAAGCUAUUCGAGAGCAACAAGGCGAUGACUCUCCUCAUCGAGGAGCAGAAGUCGGAAAUAGGCAAGCUGAAGGGCCAGAACUCGGACUUGGAGAGGUCUUCGGCGGAAAUGAUUCAGAAAUACGAGAAGGAGCUGCAGGCCGUCAAGGAGCACUGCGAGCGGGAGCUGCAGGAGCAGAAGCACUGCCACGAGGCGAUCCAGCGGCACGACAAGGAGCUCAGGGAGAAGCUGGCGGAGGCGGACGACCACCUCGAGAAGAUGAAGCAGCAGCUGGUGGAGAAGGAGGAGCAGUUCGCCCAACUGGGCAGGAACCUGAAAGUGAUUUGCGAGAAGAACAAGGACCUGGAGUGUCGGGCUGCCCGGCUGCACAACCAACAGGAGCUGGUGCGGGCCAAGUACCUCCAAUGUCAGCAGCAACUGGUGGCCAAGACCACCGACAUCAGUCAGCUGGCCGAUAACCUGGACACCGCCGACUGGGACAGUACACUGGCCCGCAUCGACGAGGUGAUCGAAGCCAGGAACCGCUUGAUAGCCGAGAACAGUGCCCUGCAAUCGGAGCUUCUCCAGAACCGGGAACGCAUCCAAACGGCAGAGCAGCGCCUGAGCCAGUUCGAGGAGGUGGAACGUAGCCUGCAGGCGGAGAACACCGCUGUCAAGGAGCAGCACGCCGUUCUGAACGAGAUGCACACCACUAUGAACAUGGAGCACGUCGCCCUAAACGUGGAGCACGCCGCCGUGUCCAAGGAGCUCGCCGCUCUGAAGGAGGAGCUGCAAGAGGCCAAUGAACGCUAUGCGACGAUGCGUCAGCGCAACCACGACUUCAUCAACCAGGUCAACGAAGAUCUCACCCGGCGGGAGCUGGCCCUGAAGCAGGAGUUCCGCGACCAGGAGGACGAGAUGGCCAAGCGCUUGCGUCGGGCCUUCCAGCGGGCGGACGACUUCUUGCAUCGCAUCACGGACCUGGUGACCAUCGACCUGCCACCCCGCACGGAUCGCUCCACUUUGGACUCUCUAGCUGCCGAGGAGGAGGUCUGGAGCUCGGAGCUGACCCAGGCAGAGAACCUGCUAACGGCGGAGAUCUGCGAGCGGUCCAAGCAGUUGGCCGAUCUGCGGACGGAGACGGAUCAGCUGGCUCGGGAUCAGGAGAAGCGGAUGGAGCUCAUCGGUUCGCUGAACAACUGCAUCAAGGAGCUGCGCUCCUCCCUGGAGCAGAAGCAGCGGGAAGUGGCCGAGGCACAGGCCCAGCUGGCCACUGCCGUUCUGACGGAUGAGGAUUCGUUGGCGGCUCUGAAGUCGCGACUGGACCUGGACUCGUCGGACGACGUCAUCGGCAACUGCCUGAUCCACAUCCAGCAGAUGGACGACAGUCGUCAGUUCCUGGAGGCGGACAACGAGCGCCUGACCCGAGCCAGGCACAAGCUGGAGGAGGAAGUGCAGCAACUGCACGACCAGAUCGCCGCCGACCAGACCGCUCACAUAAUGAAGCGCCUGAACGGCUCCAUCCAGAAUCUGGAGCAGGUGAACGAGAAGCUCAGCACCGACUACGCCAAGCUGCAGCUCCUCCACUCCGACAUGGAGCACUCCCUCACCCAGGCCGAAUUGAAGGUGGAGUCCAUGACCACCCAUCUGACGAACACCAGGGACAAGAUUGCCAAGCUGGAGGAAGGCAAUGGGCUGAAGGCUCUGCGCAUCACCGAGCUGGAGAAGCAGCUGAAGGACCUGGUCAUUGAGGUCAAGAUAAGGGAGGCCAAGGCGGUCAAGAUGGAGGAUCUGUAUGUUAUGAAGAUGAAGUCCGUGAAGGACGACCUGCAGGAGCAGGUGCGGGAGAAGGUGACCGCGCUGGAGGAGCAUCAUAAGAUGAAGAUGAAGUCUGCCGAGCUGGAGAAGGAGGUUCAGAUUAAGGAGCUGGAGGUUCAGCUGUCGGAGCAGCAAGAGAAGCUCUCGGAGAAGCAGCAGAAGCUAUCGGAGCAGCAGGAGAAGCUAUCGGAGCAGGAGGAGAAGCUGUCGGAGAAGGUGCAGAAGUUAUCCGAGCAGGAAACGAAGCUAUCCGAGCAGGAACAGAAGCUAUCGGAGCAGGAACAGAAGCUAUCCCAGCAGGAGAAGAAAAUCUCGGAGCAAGAGGAGCAGCUCAUCCGCAAGGAGGAGAAGCAUCUCGAAGAGAUCAAGAACAUGAAGGCCGACUGUUCCGGUUCGAUCCACCAGCUGGAGAAGGAGCACUGGAAGCAGGUGCAGGGCCUGCAGGAGGAGCUGGCCGAGACGAACCGCGAGAUGUGCAAACAGUUGUCGGAUCAUGCCCAGGAGAUGCGCCAGCUCCAGCAGAAGGCAGUGGACAUCCAUCGCCUGGAGGAGCUGAAGACCGCCAAUGCCGAGAUGGUGGCAGAACGGAAGGACAUGGAGGUGCAGCUGAAGCAGCUGGAGGAGGAGAUGAAGCGGGAGAAGCAGCUGGCCCAGCAGGAGAUCGACCAGUUGAAGGCCAGGCUGCGGGAGUCCGAGGAGCAAAUGGAUGCUCUGGUGCUGGACCUGGAGCAGUCGAAGCGCCUGGCCAAGGAGGAGAGCGAGAGGCUGGCCCAGGAGAUCCAGAAGCAGGCCGCGGAGCUUAAGGAAGCCACCAAGCAGGCCAAGCUGGCCCAGGAGGAGCUAGUGAUGACCAAGCUGGUACUCCAGGAGCAAGGGGCAUCCCGGAAGGAGGAGGUCGAUGGACUGCUAGCCGAGCUGGUGGAGCUUCGAGAGAAGGCGCAGGAGGAGGAGGACUCGAAGGACGCUGAAAAGCUGGAGAUCGAGGCUCUCAAGGAGGCCCUGUCCCUCUCCAAGGAUCAGGCCAAGGAGGAGAUCGCCAAGUUCAAGGAGCAGCAGGCUCAAGCCCACAGCCAUGCCGCGGACGCCAAGAACCGGGAGCACCAUCUGGCCCAGCGGGAGAUCGGCAAGCUGACCAAGCAACUGAGCCAGGCCCACAGCCGGUUGGAGGAAGCGAAGAGCCAGGAGCAGGAGAAGAUCGCCGCGCUCCAGCAGGAACUGGCCGAAACCCAGGAGGCCACCAAGGAGAAGAUCGCCGCGCUUCAGCAGGAACUGGCCGAAACCCAGGAGGCCACCAAGGAGAAGAUCGAGGAGGUCAGGAAGCAGGCCACCAUGAGCGAGGAGCACCAGAAGGCGCUGCAAGAGAUCGAGGUUCUCAGAGAGAAACUGUCCCACGCCCUGGCCGAUAUGGAGAAGCAAGUGAAGGCGCUAACCGAGGCCAGGAAGAAUGAGGAGCAGACAUUCCAGGAGGAGAAGGAGCGGCUCAAGGAGGAGCUGGCCAAGGCCGAGGAGCUGGUCAGAAAGGCGGAGAACUGCACCCAGCAGGAGCGACAGCAGGCCCAGGAGGAGAUCCUGACACUGAAGGAGCAGCUGUGCGCCGCCCUGAAGGAGAACGGGAACGAGAAGGCCAAGGGCCUGGAGGAGAUCGAGCGGCUCACAGGGCAGCUGAGGGAGGCCCAGCAGAGUGUCCAGGAGCAGAUGAGGCUACUGGCCGAGACGAAGAGCCAGACCGAGCAGCUGGCGAAGGCGGCCAGCGAGAACUUCGAGGAGCAGCUGCGCCUCGAGAGCCGGAAGCUGGAGGAGGAGCGUCUGAACUCCAACCAGCUGAGCGCCGAUCUUCGGAAGCAGGAGCAGGAGCUGCGACGCCUCCGGGGCCAGCUCACCACGCAGACGACGCGCGUCGAGAAGGACUCUGUGGCCCUCGAGGAGUCCCAGGCGGAGGCUAAGCGGUUGCAGGAGGAACUCGGCCAGGCCAAGGCCGUCCAGGAGGAGCAGUCGGCGAUGAUAGAGAUGUUGAAGCGCGAUAAGGAGGCAGUGCUGCGGGAAAUUCACUUGGUAAAGGAGCGAACCCAAGGGGCGGAUCGCGAACAUCAAGUGGCGGUGGCUACACUUGAGGAUCAGUUGGAGACACUUGAGAAGCUUCGCGUCCAGGCCGAGAUCGAGCGAUCCGCCGCCCAUGAACGCAUUACCAAGCUGGAGGCUAUGCGCGAGUCCCAGGAGCGUGAGGUGCGCGACCUCAACGCCCAGUUGGCGGAUGCCGAGCAGGAGAAGGUGCGCCUCAACCUGGAGAUCGGUGGCCUCAACUCUGAGAUCGGCCAGUGCCGCCAGACUCUCGCCAAGCAGGCCGAUGACAUCGUCGUCCUCCAGCAGAGCAUCGAGACCGUCCAGCUGGAGCGCCAACGCGAACGGGAGCAGCUGGCCCAGCUCCAGGAGAGGCUCAACGAGGUGCAGCAGGAGCUGGAUGGCAAUCGACUCGUCCACGAUGCCCUGCACUUCGAGCUGGAGGAGAAGACCCGGGAACUGGAGCAGGAGCAGGGCGAGUGCACGGAGCGUGUCCAGCGCUAUGUCUGCCGCGUCGAGGAGCUGGAACGAGAGCUCGCCGACAGCCAGAACCAGGUGCAGAUGCUGCAGAACCGCAACCCCAGUCCCACCGCCGAUCUGGGCGCCACCUACAGCAAGUCGGAUGCCCCACCGGCGGAUGCCGAUGCCCAGGCCCAGGGUGAUCUGCUGCGACAGAGCGAGGCGAGGAACAACAAGCUGGAGCUGGACUGCCAGAUCCUGCAGGCCAAGUACCGGGAGGCCAAGGAGGAGAUCCAACGAUGCGAGCAGAAGAUCAAGGACCAGCGCCUGGAGAUGGAGGGCAAGCUGGACAAGAUGAAGAACAAGAUGCGAUCCCUGUACACGGCGGAAGUGACUCGCAUGAAGGAGAAGCAGGAGCGGGAUGCGGCAGGAAAUAAGGCGGAGCUGGAGGCUCUCACAGCGCAGAAUGCAAAGUAUGAGGAACACACUCGAAAGCUAUCGAACCAAAUUGUCCGCCUUAACGAGAAGAUCCUGGAACAGCAGAAGCAACACGCCAUCACCAGCACCAAACUGAGACACCUACAGAUGCAGCCAGUCGGCGAGCCACUCAAGCCGACGCCACCAACAGCCUCCAUCGGCUCCACCGCGGCGAGCAGCGACGACUGGCAGCCCUUCAAGCGACCCAGUGCCCCGUCCUCGAACCUGGCCAUGGAGGAUGAGGAGGGCGAGGUCUUCAACAACACCUAUCUGACGGAUCUCAAGCUUGGCCGUGUUCCAGAUGUGAUAACGGCCGAGGAGCUCAACUAUCGCAACUCCCUGCAGCCGCCGCAUCUGAAGAGCGCCUAUGCGGCGCAGUACGAUCUGGGCAGUCAUGACGAGGAAUUUAAAGUAAGCUCCAAAGGAACUCCACCCAGUUCCAGCAGUAGCAGCAGCACUAGCAGCGCCAGCACCAGCACAAGCACAACAAGAAGCAACACUCCAAGCAACAAGAGCAGGACAAUGGGUGGUGGUACUCCCUUGAAAGGACAAGCGGCCGCGGCUCGGGCCCAACUGGCUCGCAUGUGGCACAGACGCCGCCAGUAGCCUGGCUACUGGUAGUCAGUGUUCCGUAUCUCCCACAUCCACCAUCCCACCAAUCUUAACUUUAAAUUUAAGCACCGAGACGGACCGCACAGCCUGGACGACAGCAUGAGCGCCCUGCUGAGCUCCUCGACGAGCCAUGGCACGAGGAAGAAGUCGAUGGGC
Molecule: unclassified non-coding RNA, 6555 nt
Filed under: Drosophila ananassae
Lineage: Eukaryota; Metazoa; Arthropoda; Insecta; Diptera; Drosophilidae
Description: GF22554
Source: RNAcentral